RNAcentral lists this ribosomal RNA (465 nucleotides) under uncultured bacterium. RNAcentral's name for it is "partial 16S ribosomal RNA". It matches the Rfam family "Bacterial small subunit ribosomal RNA", at positions 28 to 507 of the family's 1533-position model. The record is from RNAcentral.
GACGAACGCUGGCGGCGUGCUUAACACAUGCAAGUCGAACGGAAAGGCCCUGCUUGCAGGGUACUCGAGUGGCGAACGGGUGAGUAACACGUGGGUGAUCUGCCCUGCACUUCGGGAUAAGCCUGGUAAACUGGGUCUAAUACCGGAUAGGAGCCAUUUUUAGUGUGAUGGUUGGAAAGUUUUUUCGGUGUAGGAUGAGCUCGCGGCCUAUCAGCUUGUUGGUGGGGUAAUGGCCUACCAAGGCGGCGACGGGUAGCCGGCCUGAGAGGGUGGACGGCCACAUUGGGACUGAGAGACGGCCCAGACUCCUACGGGAGGAAGAAGUGGGGAAUAUUGCACAAUGGGAGCAAGCCUGAUGCAGCGAAGCCGCGGGGGGGAUGACGGCCUUCGGGUUGUAAACUCCUUUCGCUAGGGACGAAGCUUUUUGUGACGGUACCUAGAUAAGAAGCACCGGCUAACUACGUG